This 447-nucleotide ribosomal RNA is filed under the name uncultured bacterium. RNAcentral's name for it is "bacterial SSU rRNA". It matches the Rfam family "Bacterial small subunit ribosomal RNA", at positions 355 to 825 of the family's 1533-position model. The record is from RNAcentral.
UCGGGAAUUUUGGGCAAUGGGCGAAAGCCUGACCCAGCAACGCCGCGUGAAGGAUGAAGUAUUUCGGUAUGUAAAUUUCGAAAGAAUAGGAAGAAUAAAUGACGGUACUAUUUAUAAGGUCCGGCUAACUACGUGCCAGCAGCCGCGGUAAUACGUAGGGACCAAGCGUUGUUCGGAUUUACUGGGCGUAAAGGGCGCGUAGGCGGCAAUUCAAGUCAUCUGUGAAAUCUCCGGGCUUAACUCGGAACGGUCAGAUGAUACUGCUUUGCUAGAGUGCAGAAGGGGCAAUCGGAAUUCUUGGUGUAGCGGUGAAAUGCGUAGAUAUCAAGAGGAACACCUGAGGUGAAGACGGGUUGCUGGGCUGACACUGACGCUGAGGCGCGAAAGCCAGGGGAGCAAACGGGAUUAGAUACCCAGGUAGUCCCUGAGCGGGCUGGCAAGGCGCAU